RNAcentral lists this unclassified non-coding RNA (22 nucleotides) under Aphelenchus avenae. RNAcentral's name for it is "trans-spliced leader sequence". Lineage: Eukaryota; Metazoa; Nematoda; Chromadorea; Rhabditida; Aphelenchidae. The record is from RNAcentral.
GGUUUAAAUACCCAAAUUUGAG